GACGAACGCUGGCGGUGUGCUUAACACAUGCAAGUCGAACGGUAAGGCCCUUUCGGGGGUACCCGAGUGGCGAACGGGUGAGUAACACGGGAGUAACCUGCCCUCAUCUCUGGGAUAACAGUCGGAAACGGUUGCUAAUACUGGAUAUGAGCUUGCAAGGCAUCUUGUGGGUUGGAAAGAUUUUUUUGGUUGGGGAUGGACUCGCGGCCUAUCAGCUUGUUGGUGAGGUAGUGGCUCACCAGGGCUUCGACGGGUAGCCGGCCUGAGAGGGCGACCGGCCACAUUGGGACUGAGAGACGGCCCAAACGCCUACGGGAGGCAGCAGUGGGGAAUAUUGCACAAUGGACGUAAGUCUGAUGCAGCACCGCCGCGGGCGGGAUGACGGCCUUCGGGUUGUAAACCGCUUUCAAUUGUGACGAAGCUUUUUGUGACGGUAGCAGUAGAAGAAGCACCGGCUAACUACGUG
This 466-nucleotide ribosomal RNA is filed under the name uncultured bacterium. RNAcentral describes it as "partial 16S ribosomal RNA". It matches the Rfam family "Bacterial small subunit ribosomal RNA", at positions 28 to 507 of the family's 1533-position model. The record is from RNAcentral.